CGCGACCGCCCCACGGGGCCAGCAGCCGGGGCCGCGCCGUUUCCGACCCGCCGGGUGCCGGGCACGCCACGGACACGCGCGGCUCCCCGUUUUCGCGGAGGAUUCCCAGGCCGGGUCAGGAGGACGCUCCACGAGCCCGUGGGUCCCGGUGGUCCCAGCCAUUGGGGCGGCUCCCGUGACUGUCGAGCAGCGCCCACCCCGGGCAGCAUGGGGCUCCCGCGACGCGCUCCGUCCCUUCCCCACCAGGGGCUCUGCCGGUGUCGGCCAUGGGCGCGGGUACACACCAGGCGCCUAAUGAGUGCUGAGGCGGACGAGGGUCCCGGCAGGCGGGGUUACCCCGGCCAGGCCUGACUGGCGCCCUGUCUGCGCUGUGUCCUGGGACCCCGGUCACCGGGCAGGGUGGGACACCGAGGCCUCGCGGCCAAGCGACUCGCCGCGGUCGCCGGGCUGCGAACGGUGGAGCCGCCGGGACUCGGACCAGGACGCGAGCUCCAGAGCAGGGGAUGACAGGCCUGAGCCGCAGGGGCCGGGAGGAAGGCCGCGCUGCUGUCCUGGGGCUGGGCAGCCUCCGCAUUCACAGCGCAGACCGCUCUAGCCUUAGGCCUGGAGGGGACACCAGGAGAUGAGGCUUCUGGCUCAGCCUGCUCUCUGCAGCCACAGGCAAAGGCCAGGAAGGCCGGGGUGCGGGAGCUGGCAUAGGAGCUGGCUCCAGCUCAGGCUAACGGCAGAAGGAGCUGUAAACACAUCCUAAGCUCUCAUCGGCAGGCUCGUGGCUCACGGUGGUUUGGGUCAUAUUUUUCUGUGUCUUUGGACGUCCAGUGACUUUUGGGCAGGACGUUGUUGACGACGGCAGCCCUGCAUCUACUGUCACCCUCUAAACAGCACUGACUUUUGUUCUGGGAUGAAUUCUGCCCUCCCAAAAUUCCUGCGUUGAAGCCCCAGAUCCCAUGGUCACUGUUUCAGGAGAUGGGACUCUUAGGAGGCAAUCGAGAUUAAGUGAGGUCAAAGGGAGUGGCCCUAAUUUAACAGGCUGAUGUCCUUAUUAGGAGAAAAAGAGGCACCCAGAGAGCGCUCCCUGCCAGGUGAGGACACAGCAAGGGGCUGCCUUCUGCGAAGGGGCAGGAAGCCCUCACCAGAAACUGCACUUUCCGGCACCUUAAUCUUGGACUUCCACCCUCCAGAACGGUGAGGAAAUACAGUUCUGUUGUUUAAGAUGCCCAGUCUGGGGUAUUUUGUCACGGGAGCCUGAGCUGACAGCGAGAGUGACAGCCCCUCCAGCAGGAAAUCCAAGUCCAGG
This 1297-nucleotide long non-coding RNA is filed under the name Pan troglodytes (chimpanzee). RNAcentral describes it as "long non-coding RNA NONPTRT017685". Lineage: Eukaryota; Metazoa; Chordata; Mammalia; Primates; Hominidae. The record is from RNAcentral.